GCGUCAGCGUCCAGAGCGGCUCUUGGCGUGCUCGUUGCAGGAGGACCCUGUGUUGAGGAGUUCUCAGGCAACACUCUGUGCCCUGGAAAGGGAAUCUUUUUCUUUUGCCUGCCGUUGUACGAGUCUGUGGACUCGUGUAGGCAUCCUUUUGUUUUCCCCUACGGUUGUAGGGUUUGCAGACACGUACAGGUGUCUUUGCUUUUUCUUUUUUCGUUCUACGAACUGCAGACUUGUGCAGGUGUCUUUUGGUUUUUCUUUUCUUAUACAGUCAGCGGAUUGCUGCGUGUGCCUUUUUUUUUCUCUUUUCCUUGCACAAUCUGUGCAAGUGGGAUUUUUUUCAUUUGUGUUUUCUGGCCUGCGGACUCGAGCAGCCCUGCUGAAACAAUGGAGCAAUUCCGCAGUGCUGUCAGCAGGGCUUUUGCGUCAGUGUCAUCCUGCAAAAUGUUCAAAGGCCUGAGACGUUGUCUCAAACGUGGAAGGAAUCAAGUCCGUGGUUUGAGCAGCACACCAGCAGCAGAACCUCCUGUGGCUCGCCCUGUGCCUCCAGAGGCUGAAGGGGAGGCAAAGGAUAACAAUCCCGCCCGUGUUGUCAGUCCAGGGCCUGAGCAUCCUGAACCAGUAAGUGCUAGCUUUGGUUGCUCCAGUGCAAAGCUUUGGUGCAGUGCAGGGCUGCAAGUUCCUGAUCAGGCAGCGCUGGCCCUUUGUGGCUGAAGAUGCUGAGGCCUGGAGUCCUGCCACGACCUGGCUCUUCAGCCCAGCCACUGACACCUGGGAAUUGG
Non-coding RNA from Cyanistes caeruleus (blue tit), 779 nucleotides. NCBI's taxonomy places the organism in Eukaryota, Metazoa, Chordata, Aves, Passeriformes, Paridae. The record is from RefSeq and is a predicted model, not a curated record.